RNAcentral lists this ribosomal RNA (231 nucleotides) under uncultured bacterium. Its description in RNAcentral is "partial 16S ribosomal RNA". It matches the Rfam family "Bacterial small subunit ribosomal RNA", at positions 524 to 753 of the family's 1533-position model. The record is from RNAcentral.
UACGUAGGUGGCGAGCGUUGUCCGGAAUUACUGGGUGUAAAGGGCGUGUAGGCGGGAAUAUAAGUCAGAUGUGAAAUUCCAUGGCUCAACUGUGGCGCUGCAUCUGAAACUAUAUUUCUUGAGUGCUGGAGAGGAAAGCGGAAUUCCUAGUGUAGCGGUGAAAUGCGUAGAUAUUAGGAGGAACACCAGUGGCGAAGGCGGCUUUCUGGACAGUAACGUGGAGCGCUGACG